This 190-nucleotide ribosomal RNA is filed under the name uncultured Staphylococcus sp. RNAcentral's name for it is "partial 16S ribosomal RNA". It matches the Rfam family "Bacterial small subunit ribosomal RNA", at positions 148 to 334 of the family's 1533-position model. Lineage: Bacteria; Bacillati; Bacillota; Bacilli; Caryophanales; Staphylococcaceae. The record is from RNAcentral.
UACGGAACCGGAGCUAAUACCGGAUAAUAUUUUGAACCGCAUGGUUCAAAAGUGAAAGACGGUCUUGCUGUCACUUAUAGAUGGAUCCGCGCUGCAUUAGCUAGUUGGUAAGGUAACGGCUUACCAAGGCAACGAUGCAUAGCCGACCUGAGAGGGUGAUCGGCCACACUGGAACUGAGACACGGUCCAG